RNAcentral lists this ribosomal RNA (431 nucleotides) under uncultured bacterium. RNAcentral describes it as "partial 16S ribosomal RNA". It matches the Rfam family "Bacterial small subunit ribosomal RNA", at positions 29 to 505 of the family's 1533-position model. The record is from RNAcentral.
AACGAACGCUGGCGGCAUGCCUAACACAUGCAAGUCGAACGAUCCCUUCGGGGAUAGUGGCGCACGGGUGCGUAACGCGUGGGAACCUGCCCUUAGGUUCGGAAUAACUCAGAGAAAUUUGAGCUAAUACCGGAUAAUGUCUUCGGACCAAAGAUUUAUCGCCUUUGGAUGGGCCCGCGUUGGAUUAGCUAGUUGGUGGGGUAAAGGCCUACCAAGGCGACGAUCCAUAGCUGGUCUGAGAGGAUGAUCAGCCACACUGGGACUGAGACACGGCCCAGACUCCUACGGGAGGCAGCAGUGGGGAAUAUUGGACAAUGGGCGAAAGCCUGAUCCAGCAAUGCCGCGUGAGUGAUGAAGGCCUUAGGGUUGUAAAGCUCUUUUACCCGGGAUGAUAAUGACAGUACCGGGAGAAUAAGCCCCGGCUAACUCCG